GAAUAUGGGAAGCAUACGAGUAUCUGCAAGGAGUACUGCAAGGGCGACACCAACACCAAAAGCCUUGGUCCUUUUUUGGGAUGCCAGUCGGUGGGCCGGACCCUCCCUAUCACGCUAUAGCAUUGUGCAGACUGUGCAGAAAUGGAGGAUGGCCAGCAGAGCAGGGGACCAAUGAUAUGGAAAAUCCUCGGUCUCGAUCAUAGGAGACUUUCAAAACUAAAUUCCAAAAUUGACCACAAUGUGUGCUAAACAAUGUGAUGAUAGAGCAGUUUCCAUUUUUUUGGGAGCAUGGAACUUGAUCUCGGGACCAUGUUGGUUCCUUCUCUCUGUAUAUUUCAUAUCGCAACGUAAGAAACCGGAGGAUGGCACGAUUGUCAGUUAUGAAAAAUUUUGGUAUGUGUUUUGUAUGAUUGUGUUUGUUGCUGCGAUAAUACACACUCUGAGUGGGGUUCUGCUGCUGUUUGGCGUGUGGAAGGACUAUGGAGGAGUGUUCUUAGUGGGUAUGGUUAUUAGCAAUUUCUUGCCAAUCGUGUUGGUUUUAACCGUAAUUAUACCAAUUAUACAAGUUUUUUGCGUGUUUAGAGCGCUCAAUUACUGGAGAUCGAACUGGCCUUAGUUCCAGCUACAUAUGUCUAGAUCAUGGAAACUAUAUCUUAUAAAUCAAAAUUAAUGUAUAAAAGACCAUAAAUUAUCAGUAUAAAUAAA
Molecule: long non-coding RNA, 705 nt
Organism: Drosophila persimilis
Lineage: Eukaryota; Metazoa; Arthropoda; Insecta; Diptera; Drosophilidae
Exons: 4
Source: RefSeq, a predicted model, not a curated record